This is a long non-coding RNA of Episyrphus balteatus (marmalade hoverfly), 547 nucleotides long. RefSeq lists it as uncharacterized. The record is from RefSeq and is a predicted model, not a curated record. NCBI's taxonomy places the organism in Eukaryota, Metazoa, Arthropoda, Insecta, Diptera, Syrphidae. The transcript has 3 exons.
GUUGCUGCCAGCUGCCACAAAUCGCGCUUCCUUUACAAAAUAAACAAAAAACCUACAAAUAGUAAAUUUACUUUACAAAAAAAAUUCCAACUUUUUCCUCUUUUGCACGAACAAAAUAAACAAAACCGAAAAUGUGCAAGUGCUUAAGUGAAAGCGUUGUUUGCUGCUGCUUCAAGUGCGCCUUGAGUAUGCUUAUCUCAUUGAUAUUUUCAUCAUUGGUGAUUCUUGCUAUAAUUGGUGGCCUUGUCUAUUACUUCUAUUAUUACGAAGACAACAAACACGACGAUGCUGUAAGAGAUCUUCAUAAGGAUCUUAAUAAAGGAAUUGAUAAUGCCGUCGAUGAAAUAAAAGAUAUAUACAAAGGAAUCAGGGGAUCAUAAGUCUUCUAAAAACAACUAAAGAAUUCGCCAGAAUCUCAUUCACCAUUUUUUGUAUUACCUUUCUUUGAGAAUCUCCUAAACGUGCAGAAUUAAAUGUACCUACUCUUAGAAUUAAAUAUGUUUCUAUUAUUUUUUUUUUAUUCAAAAAUUUCCACCACCUUGCAAAC